This 305-nucleotide unclassified non-coding RNA is filed under the name plant metagenome. Its description in RNAcentral is "partial contains 5.8S ribosomal RNA, internal transcribed spacer 2, and large subunit ribosomal RNA". The stretch from base 1 to 105 matches the Rfam family "5.8S ribosomal RNA", at positions 50 to 154 of the family's 154-position model. The record is from RNAcentral.
GAAAUGCGAUAAGUAAUGUGAAUUGCAGAAUUCAGUGAAUCAUCGAAUCUUUGAACGCACAUUGCGCCCUUUGGUAUUCCAAAGGGCAUGCCUGUUCGAGCGUCAUUUGUACCCUCAAGCUUUGCUUGGUGUUGGGCGUCUUGUCUCCAGUUCGCUGGAGACUCGCCUUAAAGUAAUUGGCAGCCGGCCUACUGGUUUCGGAGCGCAGCACAAGUCGCGCUCUCUUCCAGCCAAGGUCAGUAUCCACAAAGCCUUUUUUCAACUUUUGACCUCGGAUCAGGUAGGGAUACCCGCUGAACUUAAGC